AGUGAACGCUGGCGGUAGGCCUAACACAUGCAAGUCGAACGGCAGCACAGUAAGAGCUUGCUCUUACGGGUGGCGAGUGGCGGACGGGUGAGGAAUACAUCGGAAUCUACUUUUUCGUGGGGGAUAACGUAGGGAAACUUACGCUAAUACCGCAUACGACCUACGGGUGAAAGCAGGGGAUCUUCGGACCUUGCGCGAUUGAAUGAGCCGAUGUCGGAUUAGCUAGUUGGCGGGGUAAAGGCCCACCAAGGCGACGAUCCGUAGCUGGUCUGAGAGGAUGAUCGGCCACACUGGAACUGAGACACGGUCCAGACUCCUACGGGAGGCAGCAGUGGGGAAUAUUGGCCAAUGGGCGCAAGCCUGAUCCAGCCAUGCCGCGUGGGUGAAGAAGGCCUUCGGGUUGUAAAGCCCUUUUGUUGGGAAAGAAAAGCAGCAGGUUAAUACCCCGCUGUUCUGACGGUACCCAAAGAAUAAGCACCGGCUAACUUCGUG
This 492-nucleotide ribosomal RNA is filed under the name uncultured bacterium. Its description in RNAcentral is "partial 16S ribosomal RNA". It matches the Rfam family "Bacterial small subunit ribosomal RNA", at positions 29 to 507 of the family's 1533-position model. The record is from RNAcentral.